CUACAAAUGAAUUGACGGGGGCCCGCACAAGCGGUGGAGCAUGUGGUUUAAUUCGACGCAACGCGAAGAACCUUACCAGGGCUUGACAUCCCCUGACCGCGUAUGAAAGUACGUUUUCACCCUCGGGUGACAGGGAGACAGGUGGUGCAUGGUUGUCGUCAGCUCGUGUCGUGAGAUGUUGGGUUAAGUCCCGCAACGAGCGCAACCCCUACGUUUAGUUGCUAACGCGUGAAGGCGAGCACUCUAGACGAACUGCCGUUGACAAAACGGAGGAAGGUGGGGAUGACGUCAAAUCAUCAUGCCCCUUAUGUUCUGGGCUACACACGUGCUACAAUGGCCGGUACAGACGGACGCAAAGCCGCGAGGUGGAGCAAAUCCUAAAAAGCCGGUCUCAGUUCGGAUUGCAGGCUGCAAUUCGCCUGCAUGAAGUCGGAAUCGCUAGUAAUCGUGGAUCAGCAUGUCACGGUGAAUACGUUCCCGGGUCUU
Molecule: ribosomal RNA, 486 nt
Filed under: uncultured Pelotomaculum sp.
Lineage: Bacteria; Bacillati; Bacillota; Clostridia; Eubacteriales; Desulfotomaculaceae
Description: bacterial SSU rRNA
Rfam family: Bacterial small subunit ribosomal RNA
Source: RNAcentral